RNAcentral lists this ribosomal RNA (655 nucleotides) under uncultured Acetobacterium sp. RNAcentral's name for it is "bacterial SSU rRNA". It matches the Rfam family "Bacterial small subunit ribosomal RNA", at positions 66 to 720 of the family's 1533-position model. The record is from RNAcentral. Lineage: Bacteria; Bacillati; Bacillota; Clostridia; Eubacteriales; Eubacteriaceae.
ACGAGACGGGAUGGAAUGACCCUUCGGGGGAAUGAAAUCCUAGAAAGUGGCGAACGGGUGAGUAACGCGUGGGUAACCUGCCCUAUGGAAAGGAAUAGCCUCGGGAAACUGGGAGUAAUGCCUUAUAAUAUACGAGAGUCGCAUGGCUUUUGUAUUAAACGCUCCGGUGCCAUAGGAUGGACCCGCGUCCCAUUAGCUAGUUGGUGAGAUAACAGCCCACCAAGGCAACGAUGGGUAACCGGUCUGAGAGGGCGAACGGUCACACUGGAACUGAGACACGGUCCAGACUCCUACGGGAGGCAGCAGUGGGGAAUAUUGCGCAAUGGGGGCAACCCUGACGCAGCAAUACCGCGUGAGUGAAGAAGGUUUUCGGAUCGUAAAGCUCUGUUAUUGGGGAAGAAAAAAGACGGUACCCAAGAAGAAAGUCCCGGCUAACUACGUGCCAGCAGCCGCGGUAAUACGUAGGGGACAAGCGUUGUCCGGAUUUACUGGGCGUAAAGGGCACGCAGGCGGUUUUUUAAGUCAGAUGUGAAAGGUACCGGCUCAACCGGUGACAUGCAUUUGAAACUGAAAGACUUGAGUAUUGGAGAGGCAAGUGGAAUUCCUAGUGUAGCGGUGAAAUGCGUAGAUAUUAGGAGGAACACCGGUGGCGAAG